UGUGUUGGACUCUUGGGCACUUGGAUAUCUCAGGUUUAAAAUAGCAAUUCUCUGAGGCCAUACAAUAGCAAGUGCUUAUAUGGGCUCAUGGGAGGGAAGAAAAGAGUUGCGCAAGAGGGUUCAGCCGACGCUGCCAAAAUAGCCACAAAGUUUAGCAUUCCAAGCUGUUCCCUGAUGGCAUUCCUCCAGCCAGGCAUCUGGCUUGGGGGCGGUGGGUUGGGCUGGGGUGCUCUUGUUAAAGCCUCACUCUUUGAAGUUGCCUUGCUCAGACUCAACACUUGUUUCCACUGGAAGGACCCUCCCCUGUUCUCUGGACAAGAGGUAACUGAUAAUGUCAGAAACUGAGGAAAUCAUUGAAGAAUAUGAAGAGUAAGUGUUUGAAGAAUGUGUGGAAGAAGAAGAGGAAGAAUGGAUAGAGGUGGAAGACGACCAAGAAGAACAAGCUGAAGACGUCAAGGAAGGUGAAGGGGAAACCAUAGCAGAAGGCAUGUAUUGAUGUUCUGCUGAGAGAGCUCAAACUGAUGGAAACAUUUUGAUGAUGUGCCCUUUGGUGGUGUGCAAAGACCUUGCAUGAGCCAAAUCUUGCACCAGUAACUAAAUGGGAAAUGCAACAGUCCUGUCCAACAAUGAGCUGUAAUUUGGCAUCUAGCUGUAGUUCUUUUGAUGUGCCCUAUCUCUUCAAGCCUGUCUUCAUAUCUCUCU
This is a long non-coding RNA of Heteronotia binoei (common prickly gecko), 702 nucleotides long. RefSeq lists it as uncharacterized. The record is from RefSeq and is a predicted model, not a curated record. The transcript is spliced from 5 exons. NCBI's taxonomy places the organism in Eukaryota, Metazoa, Chordata, Lepidosauria, Squamata, Gekkonidae.